Long non-coding RNA from Neogale vison (American mink), 2435 nucleotides. RefSeq lists it as uncharacterized. The transcript is spliced from 6 exons. Lineage: Eukaryota; Metazoa; Chordata; Mammalia; Carnivora; Mustelidae. The record is from RefSeq and is a predicted model, not a curated record.
GGACCAGGCCUCCUGCAGGGAGAGGGGCCAGAGGACUUGAGCCCCAGGGCGAGGGCCGCCACCUGCCCACACGCUGCGUCAAGGAACUCGGCGCCCGGACCGCAGCACGUGACCAAGAGAGGCUGGGGUGCUGGCAGCUGGGACAGAGGCCCGCUGGGGUAGCGACGCACAUUCUGGAGAGAACUGCGGGUAGGGGUGCCUGGCUGUUCAGCUGUGUGGCCGUGCGUGUCCCAGCGUGGACACUCAAGUUGGGCUGUGCUGGCAGGUGGGCCGACGGGAGGCCCGAGUGGGGUCGGUUCUCAGCCUCUGUUCUGAGAAAUUAUAGAUCUACCAGAGAACGUGCACGCCCAGAAAUUGACCAGGUAAAGCUGGACUUCCCGAGCGGUUAGUGGGUCCCCACCUCCUGACGCCCAGGGGUGCCCUGCCCAGCACCAUCCUGUCUGUUCCCAAGCCCCAAAGUUUUGCUGUCUGGGCUGAGAGCUCCCGAAAGGUGCUGCCGAGUGCGACGCCUGCCCCGACAGUCCUCCCCUGCGGUGGUCCCAGUCAGCGCGGCGGGGCCGGCCCAAGCACGACGCUGGUGUGUCUGCCCGUGGCCGGCGAGCGGGCUUUCUGUGAGCAUGUACAGUGCUGUGUCCCCGGGGGGUGGGUGACAGGGAGGGGCCGCCACUAGCUCCUUCCACCCACUGAGCCGACCGCCGUGGGGGCGCUUCUGUCUGGGGCUGCCAGGACCUGGUAGCAAGCCUUCAGCUACGGCUCUCGGUGCGGACGUGGGUUUCCGGCCUCUUGGGCAAAUUCUUCCAGGAGAGCUGCUGGCUCGCGUGUUUAGGUGUGACGGUUAUGAGACUUUAAGUCACCCCUGCACCCGGCUUGCGGCUCAAGCUCAUCCCCCCUCCCCCCACCGCCAGCUGCAGCGCCGCGGGGGCUAAGCCGGCUGCUCCGGUCCCACAGCACACCCCGGAGAGUGCACGAGCCCUGCGUAUCCCUCGCCGGGCGGCUCUCAGCGCUGCCUUCCCCAGGGUGCGCUCUCCAAGGUGGGCCGGCUUUUCCCUUGUCUCCUAAGAGUGUGGAUUAUCAGGUAUAAUAUUUGGGAGCAUUUUUCCCAGUCUGUGGCUCGGCCGUUUUUUUAAAAAUGGGGCACGUGGGUGGCUAAGUCAGUGAAGCGUCAGACUUUUGACGUCACCUUGGGUCUCCAUCUCUGGGUUGGGGGUUCAAGCCCGGCCUUGGCCUCCGCACGGGCCGUAGGGCCUCCUAGAAUGCAGAGGUUGGUUUUGACAAGCUGCCCCGCUGGUUUGGCUUUUCUCUGGCUCAGGCUUUCCACGUGCCUCACAGCAGAUGACAGCGAUCUUCCAAUGGAGGGGUGUGGGGCACCUUCCCCUUGACUUAGAUCUUCAUGAAUCUUGAGCUGUUUUCGACGUGGUACUUUCGGAGGAUCUUUAGUUUGGUGCCGCCAUGGACGGGACCCUCUUCAUUACGUGAACAGCUGUUCCCAGCACGUGGAAAUGGAGUGGAUUUUGUUUUUCCUAAUCUGGUGUCCCAGGACCUGGCUGAAUGAACUUGCCAGUGCUGGCUUUGUAGGUGUCUCUGGGUCUCUAGGAUUAGCUCCUUGGGGGGUCGGCUCCCCGGUGGAGGGUCAGCUCCCUGGUGAGUAAGGACGUUUCUCCUUUCUCCUUCCCAGCCUGUAGCCAUUUCCGUGGCUUCCUGGUGCCUCACAGCAUGGCCAGCACCAUGCCAGACCGGCCGCGCCUCGCUCCUGGUUUUAGAGUUUCUUAACUAGAAGCCUCUCCUCCUGCUGUGCAGAUGCGUGUCCCACACACGUCGGUGUGCUUUCCACGUCCACUUUCUCUGUCCUGUUUCAUGCACCGGCGGGUCCUCACGCAGGGGCCGUGCUGGUUGUCUCUGUGGUCGUCUCUAGUGUGUGCUGGAGCACACGCCGCAUCCACGGCUCUGACCACGCGCUGUCCUGUCCGGACCGCUGUUCUUUCCGGAGGCGGGGGCGGCCAGACCUCACGCUGCUGCCGGGAACUCAUUCCACUCCAGCAAGCUGACACACUCCCUUUGCUCUGUUAAAACUCACUGUGACUGGUUUUGUGGCUCACGCCGGGUCUGGGCUGGAGAAUGCGCGCGGGCAGGCUGUUCUGAGCACAGGCGGGUUCCGGGGGCGAGCGCAUGCUCUGCGCCUUGGGCGUCCUGGGUGAUGGGUCCUCCAGGCCAUCUACCGCUCCAGGAGAACGUCAGCCUCUGGGUCUCAGGGUGCCUGGCUGGCUCAGUCAGUGAGGCGUCCGAUUCAUGGUUUCGGCUCAGAUCGUGAUCUCGGGGAUGCAAGAUUGAGUCCCGCCCUGGUCUUCAUGCUCCUGGGGGAGUCUGCACCCCUCCCCCGAUGCGCUCGCUUGCUCUCUCAAUUUUUUUAUUUUUACAGAUUUUAUUUAUUUGACAGA